Molecule: long non-coding RNA, 1024 nt
Filed under: Homo sapiens (human)
Lineage: Eukaryota; Metazoa; Chordata; Mammalia; Primates; Hominidae
Description: HSALNT0135055
Source: RNAcentral
AGACCCCGGAGUAGCCGGGACUACAGGCGCCUGUGCAAUCUCUAUGGUAACCACAUUUCCCAGUUGACUACUACCGGUAAUAAAAUCAAAUGGAUUCAGUGCUCACAACUCUUCAGUCUUUGGGCUACUUUCCAUUCUUGAAUUUUUAGCUGAAUUCAUCUCUUUGGCUGGAUUUUGUGAAUCGGGCAGCCAUUAGAACCAAAACAGUUCUGAGGAGCUCCCAGGCUGCAAUGUGGUGCGAAAUGUUUUAUGGACAGAAAAUGGAAAUGAGGUGCAGAAAUUGGAGCCUUUCACCAGUGUAACCAUCCCAAAUUUGCAUCUUGUCUGAUGCUAACUGAGGAAGAAGGGCACCUGGAGUUUGACCAGCAGGAACAAAACAUGUUAAAAUUGUUGCAGAAGAUGAUGAGAUGAAAUUUCAGUCUUUAUUCAAGAUCAAGUGCAACUGUCUCUUUGAGGAAAGUCCUUUGACCGCCAUUUCUCCCCUUCAGAAGGCAAACACCUGGGGGAGAAGAUCUGCUUAAGGACCUGGUAACUGACAAAGAAUGGAAUGGGAGCGAGAACCGCCUAGCCAUCCCUUCUCCUUGCACAGUCAUGAAACAAAAGUUGAAAAGGAGCCUGGUUUUACUUGACCAGUCAUAAAUUACCAUAAAAUAAAAUGAGAUAUUAGGAACCUUUGAUCUCUGAAAAAGUAAUAUGUGUUGAAAAGAAAUAUCACUGUUACAUAUAGACAAAUAAUAGAAAUAUUUGAGGCAUGCAUUUAAAAUGUAGAGGCCACUUAUAGCAGGCAUAUUAACAUGUGCAUUUGCUUUUUAAGAAGUAUACACACGUGUACCUUUAGCUUUGAAAGGGUAAGAUUCAAUGCUUGGGUGAUGGAUGCACUAAAGUCUCAGAAGCCACCACUAAAGGACUUACCCACGUAACCGAAAACAACCUGUACUCCAAAAUCAAUGAAAUAAAAUAAAAAGGUAAGAUUCAUAAAUAGCAAGUUGAGAAUGCAUGUUUAUACCAUGUAGACAAUGCAUGA